AUCGACAAUUAAAAUCAACCAAUAGGGUUGGUUCUUUCCUCCACGUCGACACUAGCUUGGGCUGAUCUUGGGCUAUUACGUUUUUUUUUUUUAAUAUUUCGUGUUAACGCAUUCAGCCCAACUUCUUUUUUUUCCAUUGUCGUUGUCGAAUGACGAUUGAUAUUUAUGGCUUACUCGGCAAACUCUUGCCCUUCCUCUUCCAAACCAAACAAUUGCAGGCUUUAAAACUAAUGCUUCUUUGUCUCUUUCCAUAUUCUUUCGUUUAGUCUGCCCUCCCUCUCCAUAAUUUUCGUGUUUCCAGUUAUCGAACUCCUAAAAACGCGAUGACGACGACGACUUACAAGGCCAGAUCAAUUAUCUCGCAAGCGAGGUAGGUAUUGUCUGAUCUAUUCACUUAAUUUUCUAUUUAAUAUAUAUCUCUGUUUGUGGCUGAUUCUGUGACUUGAUUUAUCGUCUACAGUCAGCUUCAUCUAUCAAUCUACUUCGUCAGCGUAGGGGAUGAUGAAGAAAAUUUCUUCUGUAGUGGAUUCUUGCUGUGUUUUAAAUCUUGAAUCUUAGUUUCAUGUCUAACCUAUGUUGUUUGUCGUUGUAGGAAGAGCAUGAUUGUUGCAAUGCAUGUGAAGAUGUUUGUAAAGCAUAUAUAAAGACAGUUUGAGGAGUAAUGAAUCCAUAUUUCAUUGACCAGGUGAAUUGCUGAUAAAAAGGUUUCAUUGUUGUUGUAGUAUCACUGAUUGCUUCAUUUCUUUCUUUUUAUAUAUUACACUUGCCUGUUUGAGGUUUUUUUGCAACGAGUAGAGGAUGAAGUAGGUGAAGGGUGUAAAAUAUAUGUGUUCUUGGAGGUGAAUAAAGUUGCGUAAAAGUUCCACUGGUGUAGUUAACCCUCUUGAGAGACAGGUAAUUACAAUUCUGGUAUUAUCCACUCCCACUCCCGUUUAUUUUAUCAUGCUCUCUAGGGGACUUACAUUUUUCAGAGUCCAGUGGAGUGUGAGAAGACUCCCUUGGCGAAGAAGUCGUUAAAUAUUCCGUUGGUGUUGGCUUAUGGACACCAUUCUUACAAGGAAGGUCCAGUUCCAAGAAGUUGAACUGGAAAGAGCAACCAGGCAGCUCAAAGAGGCGUUUCCAAUCGCUAGCCAACAAACGACAAGAUGCGCGGCAGCCCAACGAGUGAUCCAAUCACUCACCACUCAAGUAAUUUCAUAGCUAAAUAAAUAGUAAUAUGAUUUAUGCGAUUACAAGUUUUUCUUAUGUUAUAAACAUCAACAAAAUUAUGGAGCUGGAAGACAUGGCGGAAAGAUUACCAUUUGGAUCAUCUCGAAAUAUAAUGUCUCCUCCGUCUCUUACUAUUUUCUUCCUGCCCUGGUCGUGUUGACCCUUUUAAUAUCUUACACCGACCAAAUGUUCAAGCACCCGAGCAAAAUUAUGCAAAUUCCUGAUGUUUUCUAAUGGGACCAUUACACAUGUAUUUGGAAAUGGUAAAGCAUCGAUUAAAACACAGAACGACAAGGGAUGGUUGAACAGGAUGAGCUUGGUUUCUACAUCAGUCAAACGUGUCCGUUUCAGCCGAAAAAAUUUAAGAGCAAAAUGGGAGGAACAGGGUGGCCAGACAACAUAGGAAGAGUACACGACCAAUACAAUGUAUGAAUUGUUGACAAAGCCAAUGUGGAAAUGCCUCUUUGAAACUCUUUUAACACCAACCACUUCUCUUAUUCUUCCACGCAGGGUCAGGUGAGUGCAGAAUCUUGGGGUAUAAGAAAUAUAUAUAGAGAAAUUAGAUGUUAUAAAAUAUUAUACGUGCUUCUUUCAUUGCAGUUUGGGGGCUGAGAAUGGUGUUUGUUGUGAAAAAAGGUUGUAAAUUCUUUGUGAUGUUCACACUGUAAAUUCUAUAAGCCAAUUCUUUUUAUCUCUGGAAACAAUACCAAGUAAUGGGUCUUACAAUUUCAGGAAGCAAAGAAUCUCUUAGAUUACCACUAGCUCAGGUUGUGUCCUCGCUCUUAUCUUCUCUGAGCUUGAAUUCUACAAUUUAAAAAAGCCAUUGCAAAAGCGAUGAAAUAAGAAUGGUAAUGAAUGGGCGAGUCUGGUGGAGAGGGCCACUGAGUUGAGCACUCCAACAAAUCGGAAAACUUCUCCAUUGGUAUCUAUUUUAUUUCAUCUCAAGUGUUGCUGUUUUUGUCAUCCAGCUUAAGGGAAAAGCAGAGUGAAAUGUGGUCAUGCUGAACAGAUAUAUAGAGGCAAAGAAGGAAAAGCUAAUAGUACCUCUUCUCUAAUAUGAAUUACUUUAUGUUGGUAUUGUAUUUGUAUUGAACCUUUGAACAGUUGCCAUAACUUGAGUAAAUAAAAUUUUUUAAAAGAAUUUACAGAUUAAAUACUCAAAAUAUUUAUACAUACAAAAUAUUUAUAAAAAAAUAUGUAUAUGUGAUAAAGGCUACCUGCUCUGCAAAUGAAUAAUUAUAAAGUUAAAUCAUAUGUUGUAAAACCAAAUAUUUAAUAUACAUAUUGAAUAGUGGGAAAAUUUUAAAAUUUAUUAAAUACAAAUUUUUGAAUUCUCUUAAUGAAAAUUGAAAUAUGACUAAUACAAACACUUCCAGGAUUUACUCGCACUAAAUGGGAUUAACUUAAUUGUUUAUAAGAAAAUUAUCUUAAAUACCAUACUCUUAGUAUCACUAUCUAUGUUUAACUUAACCAUUUUUAUCAUCACUUUUAAAGAGGUAAAAACACUUAUAACUUUAGCGUUAAUUAAUCUAGACUUAAGUUUUAAAAUUGAAAGGUGGGAUAGAAGUUUGGAAUGUGUAGUUUAAGAUUCUAAUAAAUAUAUAAAUAAAUACUUAAUUUUUUUAAAAAAAAAUUAGAAAAAUAGUUUCAAAAAGACUUUUCGAAUUUCAAAAAGAAAAUUUGAAAAAAAAAAUCCCUAAAAAAAAUCAAAA
Long non-coding RNA from Brassica rapa (field mustard), 2921 nucleotides. RefSeq lists it as uncharacterized. NCBI's taxonomy places the organism in Eukaryota, Viridiplantae, Streptophyta, Magnoliopsida, Brassicales, Brassicaceae. The record is from RefSeq and is a predicted model, not a curated record.